GACGAACGCUGGCGGCGUGCCUAAUACAUGCAAGUUGAGCGCUGAAGGUUGGUACUUGUACCAACUGGAUGAGCAGCGCACGGGUGAGUAACGCGUGGGGAAUCUGCCUUUGAGCGGGGGACAACAUUUGGAAACGAAUGCUAAUACCGCAUAAAAACUUUAAACACAAGUUUUAAGUUUGAAAGAUGCCAUUGCAUCACUCAAAGAUGAUCCCGCGUUGUAUUAGCUAGUUGGUGAGGUAAAGGCUCACCAAGGCGAUGAUACAUAGCCGACCUGAGAGGGUGAUCGGCCACAGUGGGACUGAGACACGGCCCAAACUCCUACGGGAGGCAGCAGUAGGGAAUCUUCGGCAAUGGACGAAAGUCUGACCGAGCAACGCCGCGUGAGGGAAGAAUGUUUUCGGAUCGUAAAACUCUGUUGGUAGAGAAGAACGUUGGUGAGAGUGGAAAGCUCAUCAAGUGACGGUAACUACCCAGAAAGGGACGGCUAACUACGUG
RNAcentral lists this ribosomal RNA (497 nucleotides) under uncultured bacterium. RNAcentral's name for it is "partial 16S ribosomal RNA". It matches the Rfam family "Bacterial small subunit ribosomal RNA", at positions 28 to 507 of the family's 1533-position model. The record is from RNAcentral.